RNAcentral lists this ribosomal RNA (889 nucleotides) under uncultured archaeon. RNAcentral's name for it is "bacterial SSU rRNA". It matches the Rfam family "Bacterial small subunit ribosomal RNA", at positions 614 to 1501 of the family's 1533-position model. The record is from RNAcentral.
GGUGGAACUGCUUGGUAAACCCGCGCAUCUUGAGACAGAUAGAGGUGGUCGGAACGCUCGGUGGAGUGGUGAAAUGCGUUGAUAUCGAGCGGAACGCCGAAGGUGAAGACAGGCCACUGGAUCUGUUCUGACGCUCAGGUACGAAAGCGUGGGGAGCGAACGGGAUUAGAUACCCCGGUAGUCCACGCCGUAAACGAUGUGCACUAGGUCGAGGGGGUUUUGACGCCGCUCUCGGCCGAAGCAAAAGUGUUAAGUGCACCGCCUGGGGAGUACGGUCGCAAGGCUAAAACUCAAAGGAAUUGACGGGGGCUCACACAAGCGGUGGAGCAUGUGGCCUAAUUCGAUGCAACGCGAAGAACCUUACCUGGGUUUGACAUGUAUGGAUUAGCUCCCUGAAAGGGGAGUGACGCGGCUUACCGUGGAACAUACACAGGUGCUGCAUGGCUGUCGUCAGCUCGUGCUGUGAAGUGUUGGGUUAAGUCCCUUAACGAGCGCAGCCCCUAUCGCUAGUUGCCAGCGCGUCAUGGCGGGGACUCUAGCGAGACUGCCGGUGUCAAACCGGAGGAAGGUGGGGAUGACGUCAAGUCCGCAUGGCCUUUAUGCCCAGGGCUGCACACGUGCUACAAUGGCGCGUACAGAGCGACGCAAUACCGCGAGGUGGAGCAAAUCACAAAAAGCGCGCCCCAGUUCGGAUUGGAGGCUGCAACUCGCCUCCAUGAAGUCGGAAUCGCUAGUAAUCGCGGAUCAGCUACGCUGCGGUGAAUACGUUCCUGAGCCUUGUACACACCGCCCGUCAAGUCAUGGAAGCUGGCAGCGCCCGAAGUCGCCACGAUUCAGUGGUGCCCACGGCGAGGCUGGUGACUGGGACUAAGUCGUAACAAGGGUAACC